AUUGAACGCUGGCGGCAUGCCUUACACAUGCAAGUCGAACGGUAGCGGGCCUUCGGGUGCCGACGAGUGGCGAACGGGUGAGUAAUGUAUCGGAACGUACCAUUGAGUGGGGGAUAACGUAGCGAAAGUUACGCUAAUACCGCAUAUUCUCUCCGGAGGAAAGCAGGGGACCGCAAGGCCUUGCGCUCUUUGAGCGGCCGAUAUCAGAUUAGCUAGUUGGUGAGGUAAAGGCUCACCAAGGCGACGAUCUGUAGCGGGUCGUGAGAGGAUGAUCCGCCACACUGGAACUGAGACACGGUCCAGACUCCUACGGGAGGCAGCAGUGGGGAAUUUUGGACAAUGGGCGCAAGCCUGAUCCAGCCAUGCCGCGUGAGUGAAG
This 379-nucleotide ribosomal RNA is filed under the name uncultured bacterium. RNAcentral describes it as "bacterial SSU rRNA". It matches the Rfam family "Bacterial small subunit ribosomal RNA", at positions 30 to 410 of the family's 1533-position model. The record is from RNAcentral.